This 65-nucleotide transfer RNA is filed under the name Cyrtodactylus chanhomeae. RNAcentral describes it as "tRNA Gly". The record is from RNAcentral. Lineage: Eukaryota; Metazoa; Chordata; Lepidosauria; Squamata; Gekkonidae.
ACCCCCCUAGUAUAACGGUACAAGCGACUUCCACUCACUAGGGCCCACAAAUGUGGGGGGGGGUA